GUGUCAAGACGUGGUUGAAUCUGUGGUUGUCUCUUAUCGGAGAUGUUGUAUUUUGGGCAGAGUUCAGCUAGGCUCACAGACCAACCCAAGUGCCAACCCAUUAUAAAGUGGCAGAGCCUGAUGAUUUUCAUUUCAGUGCCCUUGCUAACAGACAAACAACUGGGGGAAAGCUGUCAGAGGCUGAAGGUGUUGGCUGGUGAAAUCUUCUUCUGACGUGUACAGUUGGGCAUUUGAUUGAGCACUGGCCUACGAUGGUCUCAAAUAGCUGCACCAUGCACAGCACAUCUGAGUCUCUGGCUAAGUCUGCCUUGGCCCUGACAUUGAUGGCUGUCUGAGGCCAGGUCCACGUCUGGGCUGAUCGCCUGGGUUUCAGUGCCGGGUGCCAGGCCUGAUCCAUUACCUCGCUCCCGGCUCGAGCCACCAGUCCAUCAUGCCACAAUCACUCCAAUCAUUGUCUCAAGAGCCGAGUGCCUAACAGAGAGGAAAUAGCCAACAGAGCCACAUAUUUUUUGGUGGACCCGCAAACUUCAAAUCUCUCACUCGGUGCUUAAUGAUGUAUUCUUACGAGACUGUGGCUGUGGCAUAAAUAGAAACAAGGUAACAUUUCAGAGGAUGCACCACAACUGUUGUCCCCCCAGCAUAUGGGCAGCACGCCAUGGGAUAUCUGAUUGUAUAUGAUUGCACCUACGUAUGCUGGAAGCCUCUUGCAAAUGACUAGAGGACAUGUCACCACAUGCCAUGCUCCAAGACAGCCUAUGGGCAAUGUCUAAUGGUCUCAAGAGUGAAAAAAAAACAUAUAAUGUAGCUCCUGGAGGAGAGGCCAGAGCCACCGAAUAUAUAGUUCUUUUUCAAGCACACAACACAUUGGGUUAUGUGAAACUGUCAUGUGCAAAGAUGUUUGGCAGAUGGGAAUGAUCCAAAUUAGGGUGACCAAAUGCACACAUGUGGGAAGAGUAGUAAGCUUGUGUGGGACAAUGAGGGACAUGUUCUGAAUACUGAGAGGCAACCUAAAAUGUUGAUAUAAUGUCUAUCUAACU
This is a long non-coding RNA of Clupea harengus (Atlantic herring), 1037 nucleotides long. NCBI's taxonomy places the organism in Eukaryota, Metazoa, Chordata, Actinopteri, Clupeiformes, Clupeidae. The record is from Ensembl.